This 274-nucleotide ribosomal RNA is filed under the name uncultured prokaryote. RNAcentral describes it as "partial 16S ribosomal RNA". It matches the Rfam family "Bacterial small subunit ribosomal RNA", at positions 524 to 798 of the family's 1533-position model. The record is from RNAcentral.
CACGGGGUUGCGAGCGUUGUCCGGAAUCACUAGGCGUAAAGGGCAGGCAGGCGGAUCCAUAAGUUUAUCGUUUAAGGCGUCGGCUUAACCGGCGUAGGGCGGUAGAUACUGUGGAUCUGGAAUGCGGUUGGGGAAGACAGAAUUCCUGGUGUAGCGGUGGAAUGCGCAGAGAUCAGGAGGAAUACCGAAGGCGAAGGCAGUCUUCCAAGCCGUUAUUGACGCUCAACUGCGAAGGUGUGGGUAUCAAACAGGAUUAGAUACCCUGGUAGUCCCU